GCUUACGGCCACACCGGCCUGAGUACGCCUGAUCUCGUCCGAUCUCUGAAGCUAAGCAGGGUCGGGCCUGGUUAGUACUUGGAUGGGAGACCGCCUGGGAAUACCAGGUGCUGUAAGCU
Ribosomal RNA from Oncorhynchus mykiss (rainbow trout), 119 nucleotides. Lineage: Eukaryota; Metazoa; Chordata; Actinopteri; Salmoniformes; Salmonidae. The record is from Ensembl.